This 460-nucleotide ribosomal RNA is filed under the name uncultured bacterium. RNAcentral describes it as "partial 16S ribosomal RNA". It matches the Rfam family "Bacterial small subunit ribosomal RNA", at positions 338 to 795 of the family's 1533-position model. The record is from RNAcentral.
CCUACGGGUGGCAGCAGUGAGGAAUAUUGGUCAAUGGCCGGAAGGCUGAACCAGCCAUGCCGCGUGAAGGUCAGUGCCCUAUGGGCGUUAAACUUCUUUUGUGCGGGAGCAAUAAUGGUCACGUGUGGCCAGACGAGAGUACCGUACGAAUAAGCAUCGGCUAACUCCGUGCCAGCAGCCGCGGUCAUACGGGGGAUGCAAGCGUUAUCCGGAUUUAUUGGGUUUAAAGGGUGCGUAUGCUGUGAGGUAAGUCAGCGGUGAAAUGCCCCCGCUCAACGGGGUGAAGUGCCAUUGAUACUGGCUGGCUGGAAGGCGGAUGCGGUGGGAGGAAUGUGUGGUGUAGCGGUGAAAUGCAUAGAUAUCAGACAGAACACCGAUUGCGAAGGCAUCUCACGAAUCCGCGAUUGACGCUGAUGCACGAAAGCGUGGGUAUCAAACAGGAUUAGAUACCCGUGUAGUC